RNAcentral lists this ribosomal RNA (460 nucleotides) under uncultured bacterium. Its description in RNAcentral is "partial 16S ribosomal RNA". It matches the Rfam family "Bacterial small subunit ribosomal RNA", at positions 338 to 795 of the family's 1533-position model. The record is from RNAcentral.
CCUACGGGAGGCAGCAGUGAGGAAUAUUGGUCAAUGGACGAGAGUCUGAACCAGCCAAGUAGCGUGCAGGAUGACUGCCCUAUGGGUUGUAAACUUCUUUUAUAUGGGAAUAAAACGUUCCACGUGUGGGAUUUUGUAUGUACCAUAUGAAUAAGGAUCGGCUAACUCCGUGCCAGCAGCCGCGGUAAUACGGAGGAUCCGAGCGUUAUCCGGAUUUAUUGGGUUUAAAGGGAGCGUAGGUGGAUUGUUAAGUCUGUUGUGAAAGUUUGCGGCUCAACCGUAAAAUUGCAGUUGAAACUGGCAGUCUUGAGUACAGUAGAGGUGGGCGGAAUUCGUGGUGUAGCGGUGAAAUGCUUAGAUAUCACGAAGAACUCCGAUUGCGAAGGCAGUUCACUGGACUGCAACUGACACUGAGGCUCGAAAGUGUGGGUAUCAAACAGGAUUAGAUACCCGAGUAGUC